GACGAACGCUGGCGGCGCGCCUAACACGUGCAAGUCGAACGAGCGAGACAGAGCUUGCUUUCUCGAGCGAGUGGCGACCGGGUGAGUAACGCGUGAGGAACCUGCCUCACAGAGGGGGACAACAGUUGGAAACGACUGCUAAUCCCGCAUAAGCCCACGGCCCGGCAUCUAGCAGGGGGAAAAGGGGCAAUCCGCUUUGAGAUGGCCUCGCGUCCGAUUAGCUAGUUGGUGAGGUAACGGCCCACCAAGGCGACGAUCGGUAGCCGGACUGAGAGGUUGAACGGCCACACUGGGACUGAGACACGGCCCAGACUCCUACGGGAGGCAGCAGUGGGGAAUAUUGGACAAUGGGGGAAACCCUGAUGCAGCGACGCCGCGUGGAGGAAGAAGGUCUUCGGAUUGUAAACUCCUGUUGUUGGGGAAGAUAAUGACGGUACCCAACAAGGAAGUGACGGCUAACUACGUG
This 466-nucleotide ribosomal RNA is filed under the name uncultured bacterium. RNAcentral's name for it is "partial 16S ribosomal RNA". It matches the Rfam family "Bacterial small subunit ribosomal RNA", at positions 28 to 507 of the family's 1533-position model. The record is from RNAcentral.